This 249-nucleotide ribosomal RNA is filed under the name uncultured bacterium. RNAcentral's name for it is "partial 16S ribosomal RNA". It matches the Rfam family "Bacterial small subunit ribosomal RNA", at positions 15 to 257 of the family's 1533-position model. The record is from RNAcentral.
GAUCCUGGCUCAGGACGAACGCUGGCGGCGCGCUUAACACAUGCAAGUCGUACGGAGCAUCUCCUUCGGGGGGUGCUCAGUGGCGAACGGGUGCGUAACACGUGAGCAACCUGCCUCGGGGUGGGGGAUAACCCGUGGAAACGCGGGCUAAUACCGCAUGGCCUCGUCGAACGGAGUCGUUUGACGAGGAAAGGUGCUGAAAGGCACUGCCUUGAGAGGGGCUCGCGGCGUAUCAGCUAGCUGGUGGGG